Molecule: ribosomal RNA, 1531 nt
Filed under: Salmonella enterica
Lineage: Bacteria; Pseudomonadati; Pseudomonadota; Gammaproteobacteria; Enterobacterales; Enterobacteriaceae
Description: bacterial SSU rRNA
Rfam family: Bacterial small subunit ribosomal RNA
Source: RNAcentral
AAAUUGAAGAGUUUGAUCAUGGCUCAGAUUGAACGCUGGCGGCAGGCCUAACACAUGCAAGUCGAACGGUAACAGGAAGCAGCUUGCUGCUUUGCUGACGAGUGGCGGACGGGUGAGUAAUGUCUGGGAAACUGCCUGAUGGAGGGGGAUAACUACUGGAUACGGUGGCUAAUACCGCAUAACGUCGCAAGACCAAAGAGGGGGACCUUCGGGCCUCUUGCCAUCAGAUGUGCCCAGAUGGGAUUAGCUUGUUGGUGAGGUAACGGCUCACCAAGGCGACGAUCCCUAGCUGGUCUGAGAGGAUGACCAGCCACACUGGAACUGAGACACGGUCCAGACUCCUACGGGAGGCAGCAGUGGGGAAUAUUGCACAAUGGGCGCAAGCCUGAUGCAGCCAUGCCGCGUGUAUGAAGAAGGCCUUCGGGUUGUAAAGUACUUUCAGCGGGGAGGAAGGUGUUGUGGUUAAUAACCGCAGCAAUUGACGUUACCCGCAGAAGAAGCACCGGCUAACUCCGUGCCAGCAGCCGCGGUAAUACGGAGGGUGCAAGCGUUAAUCGGAAUUACUGGGCGUAAAGCGCACGCAGGCGGUCUGUCAAGUCGGAUGUGAAAUCCCCGGGCUCAACCUGGGAACUGCAUUCGAAACUGGCAGGCUUGAGUCUUGUAGAGGGGGGUAGAAUUCCAGGUGUAGCGGUGAAAUGCGUAGAGAUCUGGAGGAAUACCGGUGGCGAAGGCGGCCCCCUGGACAAAGACUGACGCUCAGGUGCGAAAGCGUGGGGAGCAAACAGGAUUAGAUACCCUGGUAGUCCACGCCGUAAACGAUGUCUACUUGGAGGUUGUGCCCUUGAGGCGUGGCUUCCGGAGCUAACGCGUUAAGUAGACCGCCUGGGGAGUACGGCCGCAAGGUUAAAACUCAAAUGAAUUGACGGGGGCCCGCACAAGCGGUGGAGCAUGUGGUUUAAUUCGAUGCAACGCGAAGAACCUUACCUGGUCUUGACAUCCACAGAAGAAUCCAGAGAUGGAUUUGUGCCUUCGGGAACUGUGAGACAGGUGCUGCAUGGCUGUCGUCAGCUCGUGUUGUGAAAUGUUGGGUUAAGUCCCGCAACGAGCGCAACCCUUAUCCUUUGUUGCCAGCGGUUAGGCCGGGAACUCAAAGGAGACUGCCAGUGAUAAACUGGAGGAAGGUGGGGAUGACGUCAAGUCAUCAUGGCCCUUACGACCAGGGCUACACACGUGCUACAAUGGCGCAUACAAAGAGAAGCGACCUCGCGAGAGCAAGCGGACCUCAUAAAGUGCGUCGUAGUCCGGAUUGGAGUCUGCAACUCGACUCCAUGAAGUCGGAAUCGCUAGUAAUCGUGGAUCAGAAUGCCACGGUGAAUACGUUCCCGGGCCUUGUACACACCGCCCGUCACACCAUGGGAGUGGGUUGCAAAAGAAGUAGGUAGCUUAACCUUCGGGAGGGCGCUUACCACUUUGUGAUUCAUGACUGGGGUGAAGUCGUAACAAGGUAACCGUAGGGGAACCUGCGGUUGGA